This 192-nucleotide non-coding RNA is filed under the name Oscillospiraceae bacterium. RNAcentral's name for it is "6S RNA". It matches the Rfam family "6S / SsrS RNA". Rfam says of the family: E. coli 6S RNA was the first non coding RNA to be sequenced, but its function was unknown until recently. It consists of 184 nucleotides that fold into an extended hairpin structure with a large single-stranded internal bulge. Lineage: Bacteria; Bacillati; Bacillota; Clostridia; Eubacteriales; Oscillospiraceae. RNAcentral also lists the same sequence under 1 other name. The record is from RNAcentral.
UCUCCCCUGCCCGGUGCGUGAUGGGCUUAUAUUAAACCCACAUUUUUAAAACGGGACGCCCCACUCGUCCCGCGGUUCGCAGGCCUCCCGGCUCUUAGUCGGAAGUUGGAAGCGGUAAAGCGGUACGGAGGCGACCCACCUGCCGAGUCGUGCAGGUUUUAAUUGGGUCCACACGGCCAUGGCGGGGGAGUU